CGGCCCGCCGCCCUCAUUGGCUGCGGGGCGGGGAGACGGCCGCCGCCAGCCAACCGCCCCGCGCCCACCAGGGGUGGAGCCGCCGCUCCGGCCUCGCCCAUCCCGCGGCCGCGCGGUCCCCGACCGCCCCGUCGGGCGGGGUCGGCGCGGGGGGCGCGGGGGGCAUCCCCGCUGCACGGCGGCCGCCUUCGCCGCGGGCACGGCGAGCGGGGAGCUCCGAGGAGGGGCGCGGGGCCGGCUCGCGGCUGUCAGGGCGGCUGGGAGCUCGGUGCCCUGUGCCGUUGCCGAGCCCGGCGGUGCGCGGCCCUCCCGCUGCGGCGCGCCCUCCCCGCUGAGCCUCGACGGUGGCCGGGGUGCGCGGCUGGCGGGGAGCGGACCGUGCGUGUGCGCAGGUAAGGGCACGGAGCGGUUAACUUCGCCGCCGCGAUGCGGCCGCUGUGACCCGGAGCUUUGAUUAACGCCGCUCUGCGAAAUGUAACUGGGACGAAUUCAAUUAACGGAAGCGCAUUUCUUCAACUUUUAAUUAGAUCUAUGCUAUUUAUCUAAUGUUUAAUAUAACACAAAGAGCUGCCUGGGCUCCGGAGGGAAAUGGAAGGAGAUGUGGAUGCAAGUUCAGCUUUCAAAAACACGACAGGAUAAAGUUCUUUGUUCUUCAGCCUGGUUCAGUGCUGCAUACCUCAAAGUAAUGGGAAAGAAGCGUUAUUUCGUUUGCAAAACUGUAAAAAUAAUAGGUUGAUAUUUAUGGGAGGGUUUCCCAUAACCUUGAGCUGGUUGCAGGAUACCAAGUAAGCACGCGGUUCCAGCCCAGCCUCAAUGCACAGCAGGCUGCUGAGUUACAGCUGUUACAAGAAAACUUGAGUACACGGUAAUGUAUUCACAACCAUGGAGUUGGCUUCACUUAGUAUGCACCACAGUGACAGUUAUCCAAAUUAUUCUUUAAUAUGAUAAAUAGCAAAUCUUGGCAAAGAGCCCCUUCUGCGUGCUGCUGUUUGCAGGUCACAGGAAGUCAAGGAGGUCCCAGGCUCAUGUCAGGAAUGGGCAUUUACAUGCGCUGUCAGCAGAACAUCACCCUGUCAAUCCUCAGUCCUGCUGUGGUGGUGGUAUUUGCCUUUAGCUCAGCUCAAAGAAAUAUUUUCUGAUCCCCUCAGUGCCCUGAGGUCUGUUUGUCACGUUAUAAAUCGUGAGGGAAUGUUUUGUUGUGAGAGAGAAAGGGGAAAAGGAAAGUGAGUGUUGUUUCUGCUGGGCUGCAUAGAGGAGCCAUCAUAGUGUAGAUGCAAAUGUAGACAUGUAGUCACCUGCACCCACACCACCUUGUGCCAUUUAAAAAUAGGGUUCCUCCUCUCCCCCAGUGCAGCAGGUCUCAAGGACUGUUGUAGGAUCACAUAUCUGGUCAGUUAAAAAACCCUCACAUCUCAAUGCUGAUAACCUCAGGGACUCAAUGCUGUAUUUGGAACAGCCGUAUGGCCAGAUGUCUGCAGCAUUCUGGUGUUCUCAAGACUGGGCACUGUGUUCCUUGUCUUUGGAUUUGGGUGAAGGCAAAACACAUCAUCUAAACUCAAUGGCCUUUUCUUAGUCCAUAGGUAGAAAUGAAUAAGAAUGCAAUAUAAAAGUAGUCCUAAAGAGUGUUUCGCAUCACUUUCUUGCUCUCUGUUUGUGGCAGACCACGUACAAUCUGUUCCAUACAGAUAUAUAUAUAGAGAGAGAGAGAUAAAAGGAUGGGUUUGGUAGGGUCUGGUAGGUCGAAGGAGAUAAUGCACCUCAUGUCUGCCCCUGAGCUUUGUAAUUUGCACUGAGAAAUCACUGCCAAAGUUUCCUUCCUUCUCACACCCACUUGCUUCAUUUCCCUUUAGGCCCAGUAGCUUCUUCAUGCAAAGAGAGAUCUCCAGUCCUGUGAGCAAGUUCUGUUUAACCACUGCAUCCUCAACAAAAUGGGCAGUCACCAUCAAGUCAUGUCGUUAAUGAAAGCUUGUGAGGCUGUGGCACUUGAGGGAUGGUGAACACAUCCUGAAUAGGUGAGGAAAUUUUGGAAAAGCUAGGAGGCAUUUGACAAGUGACUGGAGUGCUACUCAAGCACUACCACUCACAAAGUACAGAUCAUUGUACGUAGGUCACUCUGAAAGUAAUUUCUCCUAUUUAUUUCUCAAACUACAACAGACACAGAGAGCAUGAUAAUACUGUUCGAUAGAGCAAAUUCUCACCUACACACCUACACUAUUUUUCAACGUAGUCACCACUAUUAGCUGUGCAUUUUCAUCAUCAACGAACAGGAGCCUGCAUGCUAUGCUCAUAAAAAUCUGCACAAGCAGAGGUGACUGAUUGUUUUGUAGUGGCUAUGAUGGUGCCAUUGCUAGGAAAAUGUUGCCCAUGCAGUCCAAGUUUCACCAUCCUGAAUACAUGGAAGUCAGAAGGCAAUAAAUCCAGACUCUAUGGUGGGUGUGGUGGGGCAGUCCAGCCAAAACUGGCAAUGUGCUCCACAGUCUGCUAACUGGUAUGAGGCCUGGUGUUACCAUGUUGCAAGAGAAAGGUUGUCUUUCUCUCUUUCCUGACUCUAGAAAUUCAAGCCUUCAACUCAGACAGUGCUGUGAUGUAGUUGAUGGUUUGCCUGGGUUCCAGGGAAGCCAGAACGAUCACCCCUUUCCUAACCCAAAAGACAGUGCACAUCACUUUAUGCACUAAGAGCUGCAUCUUGAACUUUUUUUGAUGAGGAAUUUUCAUCACCACUUCAUGGACUGCUGUUUUGAAUCCACUCUGUAGUGGUGACACUACAUCUCAUCACAAGUAAUGAUGCAAUCCAGGAAACUGCCCCAGCCUUGUGUUUCUUCAAUAGGUGCAAAUGAUGUUCUUUCUGUUCCUAUUUGAUCAUUUGUGGGACCCAUGUGGCACAAGCUUAGCAGUAUUUCAGCAUUACUGCCAUCAUUUCCAGUGCACUGAAGCUCCAUACACAGUUCCCUGGUUGUAAUAGCCUGAUUCACACAGAAGAGCUGAUUGAGACGCUUUGCAUAGCUGUCUGGAACAUGGCUUAUAUUUCAUGUCACUGUCCACUGCUGAAACGGACCACCCACCACCUCACUGUGCUCAUGUCCACUGUCGGGUCUCCAAAAGCAUUCAGCAACUGUCAGUGAAGGUAAAUGGGCAUCAGUUUUCCCAGGUGGAUGAAUUCGUCUGCACUUCCAUGUCAGAUGGCAUUUUGUCAGACUGCUCCUCUGCUGCCAUCUGUCACACGGCAACAAAAUGCACUGGAAUAUAGGUGGGAAGGUUCAACCUCUACUGCCAUAACACCAGCAUCCACCAACAUAAUAAAAAGGAGGUAUUGCUUUCAGAGCAACCUUUGUGUAUUUAAUGUUAUUAUUGUUGUGUCUUUCACAGUUGCAUUCAGGAAAUGUGUUCUGUCAUGAGAAAAAAAUAAGAAAUAUGCAAAACCAGACAAAAUUAUGUUCCAAAGCAAAGAUAUAUUCUAUUUUUUAAUGUGCAUCAAAACAGAAUCUUAAGUAGUGCCUACCAUUCAGAAGUUCUAUCAGAAAUCCUUAUAAGUACAAACAAAGAAACUGACUCUGAAUCAUCCUUCAUAUUCCUUGUUUUUAAUUUAGACUUUGACUGAGCCAGACGUAUGGGAGCAUCUGGGAAGAAUUUGAAUAAAAAAGCAAGAGCAGAAAGGAUACAAUGUUUGCCUUUGCAAUUUCUAUUUUCCAUUCUCUGUAUACUAUGGCUUCAAGAUAAAAGCUCAAGAUUAGAAAGCAAUAUGAGCUGUAAAAGCUAGGUUUUGAAAGUAAAAGACUCCCAUUUGCUCUAUAAACAAGGAAGAAGCCUGGGCCAAAGUCAAUGAAACUGAAGUAAUCUCAGGCCUGUCCUGGCAAGUUUUAUGGCAUAUAAAGAGCAGGUACUACAAUGGCAGUCACUGAACGGAGGCAAAUUCAGGAAGGACAACACUAGUAGCAUACCAAAAACAGCAAUCAGGGCUCUGGCUCUGGGCCCAAGCUGCCAUCAGUUUCCUUUUGUACAUCAGCUGUUGUGUGACCAAGUAUCACCACUACCACAAUCAGAUGUACAAGCUGGGAAGUCCGGCAAAUCAGGAGGGCAAAUCAGCAGGAGGUGAAUGAGUCAAUGAUAUCGAUGGCAGUUAAUUUACUUAUCAGGCAGAAUUUAGAACCAUAAACUAACAGGAAUUGAAUCGUGUCAUCGUGAUGAAAUUAUUCACCAACCUUGUGUAGUCCAAGAUCACAGGUACCUAUUUUUAACUGACAACAUUUUUACUUCCUACUUCAUUGCCACAUUAUUUUCUUCCUAUUUUUCCUUCGUUUCGGUCUUUUUUAAAGUUUUUUAUUAUAAGUCUAAAGACAAAGGAAUUACCUUCUGAGUAGGGGAAUGGGACAGUAUUUAAACAUGUUCCGAUUGCACAGAUAUCUGAAACUUCUCAUCUUAGCAGAUGAAACACCCACUCUUUAUUGUUUGUAUUCCAAGUUGAAAGGCAUCCAAGGGCUGGCGUGUACAGCUGAAAAUUAAAAGCUUGGAAUCCCACUUUAGGACACUGUCGUCCAACAGAGUUCAAUGAUAUUUCCACAGUAUAUACUAGCUGACACUAACGUAUUUAGUAGGUACAUUCUAAAUCAGGAAUCCAGACAUGAAACAUGAAAGCAAAGUAAGAAAUCCAAGUCUCAAAGGUGAGAAUUAACGGUCAAUACAACAAAUAAAUACUGGAGUAAUUAAAGCACGUGUCAUAUGACAUAUAUUUUGAAGAUGAUUUUUGGAGCAAUGUGUGAUAUUGUGAGUUGGAUAUACAGAGAGAAAAGUGUUGGCUUUUUUUUUUUUUUUUUUUCAAUCUUAGCUAAAAUUCAAAGGAUAAAAUCAAAUCACUUGUUAGUCCACUGACAGAUAUUUGUCUCAGUGUGUCAUUUUGAUUUUAUUGUUUCCUUGUGUUUGGUCUGUACACAUCUGCUGCUGCUUUCUCUGAGUUGUUUUAGCCAGAGAUGUUCUCUUUCAAUCUGCAUUUCUAUAGCAGCUAACACUGAGAGCUCGUGGUUUCUGCCCAGGGCUCCUGGACACUGCAGUGGUAUAAAUGAAAAUGGAAAUAUUCUCUUAUAAGAGAGUUCAAGGGCAGUCAAAUGAACCUGCAUAUGUUUUGCAGAGAUGUCAGCUGUGAAUGCAAGGACAGAUCUGAGUCAGUGUCAGUCUGUUCCCCUGUAGAUGGUGCCCCUAGUUCAAGGAUUCUGUUUUGGGUUGUCAACUACACUUCCCUAAUCUUCUUCCUCACUUUGAAAAUCAGUUUUCUCCCAAGUGGUGCUCAGAAUAGUACUCCAGACAAACAGUAUUUUCAGUGCAGAUAGGAAGAAGGGAACUGAAGUCCUGGUUUCACCUUCAGGUACAAUCUACUAUAUAAAAUAAAGAACAACUGAACCAUGACUUCCAGAGUGCCUAGGCAUUAUUAAUUUCCAAUCUUACUCUAUGGUGGUGAGCAUUAUGGCAUCCCCAGCGUAAAAUUUUUUGUCACUGGUGACUGUAUGCAUCAUAUGGAUGACUGUGUCAUAAAAAGAAUGGGAAGUGGGAUUUCUAAUUUAAUUUUGAGGAGCUGACCUUCACAAAUCACAAAAAAAGGGCUGUGUUUUCAGCCCGAAGAUAUAGAGGCUCAGCAGGGAACAUACUAAUGUCUAUAAAUAACUGAAUAUAGGGUGCAAAGACGAUGAGGCUAGGCUAUCUUUAGUGGAGCCUCAUGUCAGGAUAAGAGGCAAUGGGCACAAACUGGAACACAGGAGGUUCCACCUAAAUUUUGGGAAACACUUUAUAUAUAACAGAACAGUGGAAUGUGUUACCCAGAAACAUAGAGGAAUCUUGGAGAGCUUAGAGAGUUUCAAAAGCUGCCUGGACAUGGGCCUGGGCAUCCUGCUCUGGGUGUCCCUGCCUGAGUAGGGAUUGUACCAGAGGGCCCUGCCAACCUCAGCCAUUCUGGCAUUCCAUGUGAUGGCUGUCCAUAUUAAAUCUGAGACAUCAAGAAAGGUCUUUUCAAGUUGUUAUAAUACACAUAAGAGACAUUUGUGUCAUUCCAUGGUCUUCACUACAAAAUAAGGAUGAUGUUGUUACAGUUUUGAAAGUCUCAGAUGAGUUGCUUGUGCAAAAUAUGUUUAUGUUAACACCACCCUGAGAAGAGAGUAAGGGUGAAAAUAAAUAUUAGAAGAUACCACUGAGGUGUAGGUGAAGUCUUAUGGAUUCAGGCUUCCUGAACUUGAUGUCUCUAAUUUGAGAUUUCCACAAGAUCUAUAUCAUGCAGAAGACACAUAAGAAAGAAUUACCAGAAAGCCAGCACAGCCCUGAAGCAUGAUAAGGCAUUCAGCUGUUCAGAAUUUUCCAGGAACAUCAAUGUGAUGAAAAAAAUAGGAUUGUUACUAGGGUAAAAGCUAGUCAACAUAUUUUAAAUUUCAGAAAAUACAUUAUAAUAUCAGUAGACUGAUAAGUAAAAUCUCAAAGGAGUUUGUUUGCAUUUGGUUCACACAGUCAUUUCAUUCAAAGGCACAGUGAAAUUAUCCAAAUAUUUAUAGUUUAAAUCCUAAACCAUAAAAAUGUCAGUAUUUUUUUUACAGCAAUCACCAUUUCAUAAUAUUUUCUGUCCUUUUUAAAAAAUGUAUUUAUUUCCUUUACAGAAAUGCAGUCUCUUCACAGUUCUGAUAUUUAGACUACUCUUCAGCAUAAAAGCUUCCAAAACACAUGGAUAAAUGAACUGGAAAUUAUGUCUCAUUAAUACAAUUAGGAGAGAAGGAUUUUUAAUUUCAGUUUCUUCAUAGCUAUGUUUUAGCCUAAAAGCAAGAGAGUAAACUAGUUACCUCUGGCAAUUCUGUCUGUCAGCACCAUUUUGUUUGCGACCUAAAAUGCUUGUUUUGUUUCCCACAUUGCUUUUUCGAUAGUAUAUGCCAUAUCCUUCAUAUCACAAGAGCAGAAGGGAGUAGAGCUCUCUGACUGUAAUUGUGUUGUUAAGAUAAGGUCAGUGGUAAUGUCACUUCUGCGAACCCUGAUAGAUAUUUAUCCAAGUCAAACCUGAAUUUUUAAUCAUUAUAAAAUGUUAAUUUUUUUUUACUAGAACUUUCUUGUUUUUUAAAAAGCUUAGGCAAAAUAAAAAUAAUUCCUACCCAGUGAACUUAAUUCUCACAGUUGCACAGAUAAACCAGUAGCAGACCUUCCAUCUUAAAAGUUUAACUGUUGUCUUCUAUAAAUCAAGCUAUCUUAGAGACCCAAAGAAGUUAAUGUAGCAUGGAAUAAUUUUAAUUCAAAUCCUGAGUUUAAAUAUGAAGCUUUAAGGGAACUGGCUCCAAUAGCACAUUGGGGACAUAGAUUUGUCCUUACUGAGUAGUUCUUAGUCUGCAGCAGUAACACCUUCUCCAGGUACUAUAAAUCCAUGAAAAAGAAUCACCUAUCACCUUCCUAGCUUUUUGCUUUUGACCUUCUUAGUUACCAGACUUCUUAGUUUCCUUCUUUUCUGUCCUUCCUGUUCACCCAAGAAAAUAUUUUGUGACAGCAUUGCUAAUCCAAAGUGUGAAAUGAUCUGGACAAUCACCAUCAGUCUCUUCACCCUUGACAUUAAACCUAUUUCUGCAACAAAUGGGAUCAGUCCUUUUAUCUUAAAGACGAAGGUAAAACAGAAUUAUGACUGAUGAUGAAGUAUGACAGCACAUUGUUCCCUACUGAGUAAUGGACAACUCACUGAGCCAUUGGUUGUUUUACUUCUUGUUUGUAUGUGAACACAAGUACCUAGUCAGGUAUGUUACUUAACAGAGAGAAGAAAAAAAUAAAACAAAUUUUUGAAGAUUCAAAGAAAUGUAAGACAGAGAUGAUAAAAUAUAAAGAUUCUCAGCACUAGGAGCUCAUUCUUGCCCAUAGCGGGGUCUGGCUGAAAGCCUGCUACUUUAAGCUUUGUACUUUGAUCCCAGGAAAAAGUUCAGCUCAGAGGAAUGUUUGGUACUAAUUAGUUUAAGGAUUUUGACCAAUAUCUUCUUGUCCUUAAGUGCAGAUUUUCAAAGAAGUGAUUUUUGAUGCUGGAAUUCUCAAUUAAAAUGUUCUUUCUGAAGAUGAGAGCCCAGUUACUCUGAGACAUACAGUGCACUCCUUCAGGCCUUAACGUUCUUCCUUCUGCUAGAACCUAUGACACAUGCUUUCUCCACCGUAAUCACAGAAAGGCAUUAUAAUCAUUAUAAUCAUCAGUCAUCUUUCCAAAAUUCAAACAGUCUUGUUCAAGGUGUUUCCUUCCUUCCUUCCUUCCUUCCUUCCUUCCUUCCUUCCUUCCUUCCUUCCUUCCUUCCUUCCUUCCUUCCUUCCUUCCUUCCUUCCUCACUUUGAUCGUUCCCUUGAAAGUUAAUAAGCUUAAUGUCUGGCCAGACUGUUUCUUUAAAGGAAAAUGGCCAUGCCAUAUUUUUUUGUUACAUGGGUUAAUAAAAAUGUUUGACUUUUUCAAAAAGGAUUUCUAUUGUAUUCCCUUGUACUUGAAUUUAAGGAGAACUUGUUUGAUU
RNAcentral lists this long non-coding RNA (8486 nucleotides) under Gallus gallus (chicken). Lineage: Eukaryota; Metazoa; Chordata; Aves; Galliformes; Phasianidae. The record is from RNAcentral.